AGUGAACGCUGGCGGUAGGCCUAACACAUGCAAGUCGAACGGCAGCACAGGAGAGCUUGCUCUCUGGGUGGCGAGUGGCGGACGGGUGAGGAAUACAUCGGAAUCUACUUUUUCGUGGGGGAUAACGUAGGGAAACUUACGCUAAUUCCGCGUACGACCUACGGGUGAAAUCAGGGGACCUUCGGGCCUUGCGCGAUUGAAUGAGCCGAUGUCGGAUUAGAUAGUUGGCGGGGUAAAGGCCCACCAAGGCGACGAGCCGUAGCUGGUCUGAGACGAUGUGCAGCGACACAGGAGAUGAGACACGGUCCAGACUCGUAGGGGGAGCAGAAGUGGGGAAGAUUGGACGAUGGGGAGAAGCCUGAUCCAGCCAGGCUGCGUGGGAGAAGCAGGCAUUUCGGUUGUAAAGCCCGUUUGUUAGGAAAGAAAUCCAGCUAGCUAAGACCCGGUUGGGAUGACGGUACCCAAAGAAUAAGCACCGGAUAACUUCGUGCCAGCCGCCGCGGUAA
This 506-nucleotide ribosomal RNA is filed under the name uncultured bacterium. RNAcentral describes it as "partial 16S ribosomal RNA". It matches the Rfam family "Bacterial small subunit ribosomal RNA", at positions 29 to 523 of the family's 1533-position model. The record is from RNAcentral.